RNAcentral lists this long non-coding RNA (2723 nucleotides) under Vulpes vulpes (red fox). Its description in RNAcentral is "lncRNA (ENSVVUG00000022414.1)". The record is from RNAcentral. Lineage: Eukaryota; Metazoa; Chordata; Mammalia; Carnivora; Canidae.
GAACAAUGGAAUGGAUGUGAUACACCAUGGCAACCCGACAUGACCCAGAAGAACCAGGAGGAGCCUCAAGCUUCAGUGGACCUGGAGAAACUGUCAGGUUCCCUCCUGCAGAACCUCCACCUAAAACUAUGACCAGGGCCCAGGUGGGCACCACUGGGGACAGGUGGCUCAGUGCUGCACUUGGACUUGGGGCAGGGGCUCCCCGUGCCACCUCUCCUCUAGCUCCCCUAGUCUGAGGGCUUUUCCGCCCACUUGGUCCCUGUUCCUGUCCAGCCGGACAGGUCAGGGGUGGUUUCUGGUCUGGGCACUGGGGCACUGGCUCCUGUCUGGGGUGAUUCCUGCUGAGUCACUGGCUGAGGCUCUAAACAGGAUCCCAUGGGCCUAAUCGUGCUGGGGGUGGGUGACCAGGGCCAGAGGGAUGAGACACCGAGUCUAUGUGAAGGAUGGGUGCUGGGCGGGCCACAGCCUGCUGCUCCCCCUCCUUGGUGGCUUCUGUUUCACCCCGGCCCACAGCUCGGCUCUGCAAGGACCCAGCCCCGCUUCCAGGCCUGACCAAGUGCUGCUGGUUAGGAAAGAAGAGAAGAGAAGAUGCGGGGCACCGCCCCCACCAAGAAGCCCUCCACGGGGGAAGGCUGACUACGGCCGCAAUUGGGAUCUCAGCUCUCCGCCCUCUGCCCCCCUUCUUCCACCCACCUCCCGCCUUUCCCGCCUGGUGCCGCUGGCAGAACGGGAACUGUGACUCAAGAGUCUGGAAGACAAGGGGCCUGCCCCCCCUUCCCUCCCCCUUCCCUCCCCCGUCCCUCCCUCCACAUCCGGGCAGGCGUCUGGGCGGGUGGCCGGGCAGGAGCCAGCCUUGGCUGCCACCGAGGACCCUCCCACCUGACGUUCAUCUGGGCUCCGGCCAAGGGCAUCCUCCCGGCGGGGCAGACGCUCCACGUGGAUUCCUACUGGCGGCGGCAGGAACAAGAGCGGCCGCCCCAACCAUGAGACCCUGCCCGCCGCGUGCAGGGACUGUCCCCACCCUCCAGCGCAGGACUCCGAGGUGCAGAGAAGCUGUUCCACUUGCCCGGGUCACCCAGCAGACCUGGCAUUGCGGGGCUAUGGUGCCUGCAACGGCAGUGCCCGUUUGGCAAGUCCAAGGCGGCAGGCUGGGUGGAGCCGAGCCUUCACCAGUGUAGACAGACCACACGCUUCCCCAGGCACCUCCCAGGCAGGGCUGCCGACCUGUCCCCCAACUUCAGAGCUGGGCUCACCCUGCUCUCACUAGCCCUCAGACCCACACCAAGAAACAACUUGACCAAGAGUCCGGGAAGGAAAACACCCAGCAAAUGGGACAAGGGGCACUUCCUGGGGUGGCUUUGUCCCCUCCCACUCUCCUCCAUUAGUGACCUCCUGCCCAUCAGCCAGUGACCUCAAGGUCACUUAAUUUUGCAGAACCCGACACAACAUUUUUCCGGCCUUCUCUGAAAAAGGCUCAUGGUCAUUCAGAGUACGGGCUCCAGCCAGAUCCUGGCUGUCUGGGUUCAAGCCCCAGCUCAGCCACUUCUUAGCUGUUCAAUCCUGAGCAAGUGUCUUCACCUCUCUGGGCCUCAUGUGUAUAGUGGGGCAUCCCCCUCUGAGUCGCGGGGCGUCUCUAUCUGUAUUGCAGGACUUACAACUUCCAGAGUUGCUCUGCAUCUUGAACGAACCGGUGCACACGGCAAGCGCUCAGCGAGGGUUCCCGUGAUCCUCCACGUUCUUAAGCCUGAGUCCGUGCCGAGUGGAGCAAUGCGGCCGGGCACCCCACCCCGUGCCCACACCGAAAGCUCAUCUGCGAAACUCCUCAGUCACCCUGUCCCUCCUGCUAGAGUUACAUGUCCAAGUUAGAUUUUUCUUCUCUGGCAUCCACUUAACAACCCAUAGUUAUUAUUCUUUCUGGCCUAAAAUACAGUGCGGUUUGGGGAAAUUAAUGGACCCAGGCUACUUUCCCUUCUGAUGAGGUGGCAUCCCUAGCAUUUCUGGGAAACGAGGCACUGUUUUCCCAUCCAAAUGUCAUUAUGGACAUGGGACUUCGAGGUGGAUGCCACUUCCAGCCUGGGCUGCCCACCCCGCCCCCUGCCCCCUGAGCCCUCCUGGAGAGGAGAUCCUGGGAGUCCCUGAGUCCCUGCUGUCCCCCCACCCCAGCCCCACCUAAACCAAGAGCAUGAGAUCUCACGGCCGGAAAAAACUCUCCUCCCCUUGGGUCAGAAAAAGCAUAAUGCUGACAGCAGAGGCAGGCUUCUCGCUUCAUUCUUAGAACCACCAUUUGCAGGAGUUGUCUCCUUAGCACCACUUCCUGGGGAUACAGAGAGGCUAGGGGAACCCGCCGGCCUGCAGCCACACAGGCAGGGAACAGCAAGGGGGAUCGAAACCCACGCAAGUCCGAGAGAGAAACUCUGGCAUUUACCUUGUUGCUCAGCGUCCUCCGCAAGAGGCUGGAAGACCACCUUGCUCUCGCUCUCCCUUCCUCUCGCAUCUCAGCCUGGGCUCCAGGGCGUUUGGAAUCCAACAAACCCAACUCACUUCUCACCAGUGUGACCUUGGCUCCCAAUUCCCACUCUCUGAGCCUCAGUUUCCUUAUCUGCAGAAUGGGGGGCAAUGCAGAGCCUCCCUCAGGAGCUUGUGGUGAGAAUCUGCCAAGGUGGCGGACGCUCGGAAAAGUGCUUAGCUGGCAGGUCCUCAAUAAAUUAAGCUUAGUAUUCCCA